GUCUUAUCUGCCUGUGUUUCUCCUUUCCCAAGGAGACUCUAAGGCAACUGAAGAAUCCCAAAGAUUACGAUAUUGCAAGUAUCAAAGCAAUGAAACAGGCGCCUCUGAAAGCGAAUGGGAUCUCUGUGCCAGCCCGCAGGGCGCAUUAGCCACCGCGCAGCUCCAACCGUACCGAGCAGAGAUGUUGAUGGGCGCAAAAUGUGCCCCGGCAUUGCAGCAAGCUGGGAAGGUGUCUUUUGGCCACUUUUGUGACACAGUCGUGUAUUAUUUCCAACCCGAGUUGCUUGUUCCUGUGGGCUCGCUAAGUCACACAGGAACUGAUUCUGUAUCGUGGAGCAGCACCCAGAGCUUGGUUCCAGCAAACCAAGAGGGUUUCCCACAAAUUUCCACUGAUGGUACAGUUUAAAAAAAAAAGCAAAACCAACUCUGGGCUUUUUUCAUGCUUUCCAGGUUUCCCCAAAUGCUCCAUCACGGAGGGUGAGACGUGGGGGAAAACCCCCGUGGUGGAAAGGAGAGGGACACGCUGACUGGGUGGGCUGGGGAGGCCAAAAUGCCCCCCGCGACGCCUGCAGUGACUUGUCCCGGUGGGCCCGAGAGUGCUUUAUUCCCUUCCUCUUUGCAGCAACCUCUCACAUACUUGAAGCCUGUUAUUAUGUCUCCCCUCAGCCUCCUCUUCUCUAGACUAAACAAAUCCAGUCCUUCAGCCCCUUCCGCACAGGCCAAGUUUUCUCGGCUCCUGGUUGCUAUCGCUGCCUUCCCCUGGCCUCUCUCCAGUGGGUCACGCUCGCUGGGCUACAGAGUCCAGGAGCAGAGCCGAGGGGAUGGGAGAGGCGAUAAAAAGUGGAAGGCUGGACCUCUCUUAUUGGCAGAGGUUCACACACAUCUCGUCCCAGCAUCUCAUCCCAGCAUCUCGCGGGACAGUCCCCAGAGCCCUCCUGGACUGGCGAGCGUCGAACCCUUUGGGGAGACCACUGCCAGGAAGAUUUAG
RNAcentral lists this long non-coding RNA (988 nucleotides) under Apteryx rowi (Okarito brown kiwi). RNAcentral describes it as "lncRNA (ENSARWG00000008568.1)". The record is from RNAcentral. Lineage: Eukaryota; Metazoa; Chordata; Aves; Apterygiformes; Apterygidae.